UACGGAGGAUCCAAGCGUUAUCCGGAUUUAUUGGGUUUAAAGGGUGCGUAGGUGGUCUAUUAAGUCAGGGGUGAAAGACGGCAGCUUAACUGUCGCAGUGCCUUUGAUACUGAUAGACUUGAAUGAACUAGAGGUAGGCGGAAUGUGACAAGUAGCGGUGAAAUGCAUAGAUAUGUCACAGAACACCAAUUGCGAAGGCAGCUUACUAUGGUUAGAUUGACACUGAGGCACGAAAGCGUGGGGAUCAAACAGG
RNAcentral lists this ribosomal RNA (253 nucleotides) under uncultured bacterium. RNAcentral's name for it is "partial 16S ribosomal RNA". It matches the Rfam family "Bacterial small subunit ribosomal RNA", at positions 524 to 776 of the family's 1533-position model. The record is from RNAcentral.